CUUGUCCUACGGGGGGCAGCAGUGGGGGAUAUUGCACAAUGGGGGGAACCCUGAUGCAGCGACGCCGCGUGGGCGAUGGAGCGCCUCGGCGCGUAAAGCUCUAUCAGCAGGGAAGAAAAAAAGUCUUUGGCUUUGGACGGUACCUGACUAAGAAGCCCCGGCUAACUACGUGCCAGCAGCCGCGGUAAUACGUAGGGGGCAAGCGUUAUCCGGAUUUACUGGGUGUAAAGGGAGCGUAGACGGCAGCGCAAGUCUGGAGUGAAAUGCCGGGGCUCAACCCCGGAACUGCUUUGGAAACUGUGCAG
RNAcentral lists this ribosomal RNA (305 nucleotides) under uncultured bacterium. RNAcentral describes it as "partial 16S ribosomal RNA". It matches the Rfam family "Bacterial small subunit ribosomal RNA", at positions 333 to 640 of the family's 1533-position model. The record is from RNAcentral.